Non-coding RNA from Clonostachys solani, 110 nucleotides. Lineage: Eukaryota; Fungi; Ascomycota; Sordariomycetes; Hypocreales; Bionectriaceae. The record is from the annotation of a GenBank genome assembly.
GGCCCCGUGGCGCAGUGGUCAGCGCAUUACUGGCUGUUGGCAGCACUCCCACUCUGAGUCGUUGACAGCACACGCAGUAAAGGUCCUCGGUUCAAAUCCCUGUGGGGCCA